This 406-nucleotide ribosomal RNA is filed under the name uncultured Arthrobacter sp. RNAcentral describes it as "bacterial SSU rRNA". It matches the Rfam family "Bacterial small subunit ribosomal RNA", at positions 356 to 774 of the family's 1533-position model. RNAcentral also lists the same sequence under 1 other name. Lineage: Bacteria; Bacillati; Actinomycetota; Actinomycetes; Micrococcales; Micrococcaceae. The record is from RNAcentral.
GGGGAAUAUUGCACAAUGGGCGAAAGCCUGAUGCAGCGACGCCGCGUGAGGGACGAAGGCCUUCGGGUUGUAAACCUCUUUCAGCAGGGAAGAAGCGAAAGUGACGGUACCUGCAGAAGAAGCGCCGGCUAACUACGUGCCAGCAGCCGCGGUAAUACGUAGGGCGCAAGCGUUAUCCGGAAUUAUUGGGCGUAAAGAGCUCGUAGGCGGUUUGUCGCGUCUGCUGUGAAAGCCCGGGGCUCAACCCCGGGUCUGCAGUGGGUACGGGCAGACUAGAGUGCAGUAGGGGAGACUGGAAUUCCUGGUGUAGCGGUGAAAUGCGCAGAUAUCAGGAGGAACACCGAUGGCGAAGGCAGGUCUCUGGGCUGUAACUGACGCUGAGGAGCGAAAGCAUGGGGAGCGAACA